GCGGGGUUAGCUCAAUGGUAGAGCUCCGGCCUUCCAAGCCGGCGAUGCGGGUUCGAUUCCCGUACCCCGCUCCA
Molecule: transfer RNA, 74 nt
Filed under: Bacillota bacterium
Lineage: Bacteria; Bacillati; Bacillota
Also listed under: 2 other names
Description: Firmicutes bacterium (sediment metagenome) tRNA-Gly
Rfam family: tRNA
About the family: Transfer RNA (tRNA) molecules are approximately 80 nucleotides in length. Their secondary structure includes four short double-helical elements and three loops (D, anti-codon, and T loops). Further hydrogen bonds mediate the characteristic L-shaped molecular structure. tRNAs have two regions of fundamental functional importance: the anti-codon, which is responsible for specific mRNA codon recognition, and the 3' end, to which the tRNAs corresponding amino acid is attached (by aminoacyl-tRNA synthetases). tRNAs cope with the degeneracy of the genetic code in two manners: having more than one tRNA (with a specific anti-codon) for a particular amino acid; and 'wobble' base-pairing, i.e. permitting non-standard base-pairing at the 3rd anti-codon position.
Source: RNAcentral